AUCCCAUUCCCCACGACAUCAAACUACCGCGAGAUGCAGCCCUGCCUCGAUCUGCAUGCAGUGUGGAUCCCGCGAGAUUUCAUUCAGCAAUUCCCAUCCCCCACGCAGCACGCGCUGCAUCGCGCCGACGCCAUUAACGUUACUACGGCUUAUAGCAGAGAAGCUAACGUUAGUGUAAAUAAGAAAGUAAAGGACGGUUUUGGAUGUUGAUGCAGUGGAGCAGAAAUUGGCAGACCCCAGAAACAAGUGGUUCCUGUAGUGGCAGUACUGUGGAUGAAGCCACGAGAAGAAUGAGGGCCUUCCUUUUGGACCACCCGCAUCAAGAGAGUUCAAUUUUGUUGGCGGCAUGGAAAGUGAGAGUU
Molecule: long non-coding RNA, 362 nt
Organism: Onychostoma macrolepis
Lineage: Eukaryota; Metazoa; Chordata; Actinopteri; Cypriniformes; Cyprinidae
Exons: 3
Source: RefSeq, a predicted model, not a curated record